This 248-nucleotide long non-coding RNA is filed under the name Gallus gallus (chicken). The record is from RNAcentral. Lineage: Eukaryota; Metazoa; Chordata; Aves; Galliformes; Phasianidae.
GAGCACCCACAGCUCCGGCCAGCAGUGCCGCCGCGUCGCCGCCUCCGGGUUGUGGAUUGGAAUGGAAGUCUGCAAGUGACAAAGCGUCAGCAGUGGAAGAGUGAAGCGGUCCCGGCGUGGAAAGGAGUCGUGUUAUAAGAGCAGCAAACCUGCAGCCUGCUUACUUCAUAUCCGACAGAGGGAUGCUCCACACCAAGCCUGGUGUUUGUGUUUCAUCCAGUCACACAAAUAGAAGCUGACGGAUGCCA